This 253-nucleotide ribosomal RNA is filed under the name uncultured bacterium. Its description in RNAcentral is "partial 16S ribosomal RNA". It matches the Rfam family "Bacterial small subunit ribosomal RNA", at positions 524 to 776 of the family's 1533-position model. The record is from RNAcentral.
CACGUAGGGCGCAAGCGUUGUUCGGAAUUACUGGGCGUAAAGCGCGCGUAGGCGGACCUGCAAGUCGGGGGUGAAAGCCCGAGGCUCAACCUCGGAACUGCCUUCGAUACUGCGGGUCUCGAGUCCGGGAGAGGUGAGUGGAAUUCCUAGUGUAGAGGUGAAAUUCGUAGAUAUUAGGAAGAACACCAGUGGCGAAGGCGGCUCACUGGCCCGGUACUGACGCUGAGGCGCGAAAGCGUGGGGAGCAAACAGG